This 788-nucleotide ribosomal RNA is filed under the name Enterococcus mundtii. Its description in RNAcentral is "bacterial SSU rRNA". It matches the Rfam family "Bacterial small subunit ribosomal RNA", at positions 23 to 782 of the family's 1533-position model. The record is from RNAcentral. Lineage: Bacteria; Bacillati; Bacillota; Bacilli; Lactobacillales; Enterococcaceae.
CUCAGGACGAACGCUGGCGGCGUGCCUAAUACAUGCAAGUCGAACGCUUCUUUUCCCACCGGAGCUUGCUCCACCGGGAAAAGAGGAGUGGCGAACGGGUGAGUAACACGUGGGUAACCUGCCCAUCAGAAGGGGAUAACACUUGGAAACAGGUGCUAAUACCGUAUAACAAUCGAAACCGCAUGGUUUCGUUUUGAAAGGCGCUUUACGGUGCCGCUGAUGGAUGGACCCGCGGUGCAUUAGCUAGUUGGUGAGGUAACGGCUCACCAAGGCCACGAUGCAUAGCCGACCUGAGAGGGUGAUCGGCCACAUUGGGACUGAGACACGGCCCAAACUCCUACGGGAGGCAGCAGUAGGGAAUCUUCGGCAAUGGACGAAAGUCUGACCGAGCAACGCCGCGUGAGUGAAGAAGGUUUUCGGAUCGUAAAACUCUGUUGUUAGAGAAGAACAAGGGUGAGAGUAACUGUUCACCCCUUGACGGUAUCUAACCAGAAAGCCACGGCUAACUACGUGCCAGCAGCCGCGGUAAUACGUAGGUGGCAAGCGUUGUCCGGAUUUAUUGGGCGUAAAGCGAGCGCAGGCGGUUUCUUAAGUCUGAUGUGAAAGCCCCCGGCUCAACCGGGGAGGGUCAUUGGAAACUGGGAGACUUGAGUGCAGAAGAGGAGAGUGGAAUUCCAUGUGUAGCGGUGAAAUGCGUAGAUAUAUGGAGGAACACCAGUGGCGAAGGCGGCUCUCUGGUCUGUAACUGACGCUGAGGCUCGAAAGCGUGGGGAGCAAACAGGAUUAGA